Molecule: ribosomal RNA, 494 nt
Filed under: uncultured bacterium
Lineage: Bacteria
Description: partial 16S ribosomal RNA
Rfam family: Bacterial small subunit ribosomal RNA
Source: RNAcentral
GACGAACGCUGGCGGCGUGCUUAACACAUGCAAGUCGAACGGUGAAGCGCCUUCCUUUUUGGUUGGUGUGGAUGAGUGGCGAACGGGUGAGUAACACGUGAGUAACCUGCCCCCUUCUUCUGGAUAACCGCAUGAAAGUGUGGCUAAUACGGGAUAUUCUGGGUCUGUCGCAUGAUGGGUCUGGGAAAGAUAUUGUUUCGGUGGGGGAUGGGCUCGCGGCCUAUCAGCUUGUUGGUGGGGUGAUGGCCUACCAAGGCGGUGACGGGUAGCCGGCCUGAGAGGGUGGACGGUCACACUGGGACUGAGACACGGCGCAGACUCCUACGGGAGGCAGCAGUGGAGAAUAUUGCACAAUGGGAGCAAGCCUGAUGCAGCGACGCCGCGUGAGGGAUGGAGGCCUUCGGGUUGUGAACCUCUUUCGCCAGUGAAGCAGGCCUGCCUCGUUUGUGGGUGGGUUGACGGUAGCUGGAUAAGAAGCGCCGGCUAACUACGUG